AUGGCUGCUUCUCCACCUUCUGAAAUUUUAUGUAUGCCAGGAGAUUUAAUAUUAUUAAUGAGUGAUGGUGUAUGUGAUAAUUUAUUUGAUGAAGAAAUUGAAGCAUAUUGUACUUUUGCUAUUAGUCCUGAAGAAGCAUGUGAAUUAGGAGAUGCGAGUCUUUUUACUCCAGCACAAGAUAUAGCAUAUUCAAUUACAAAUAUAGCAAAAAGAAGAAGUGGUGAUAAAUUACAUUGUAAGCCAUUUUUACCUGCUCUUGCAAAAUUAAGACAACCUGAUAUGACAUAUAAAGGAUUAAAAAAAGAUGAUAUUUCUUGUGUUGCUAUUUGGGUAGUUUGUGAAACAGAAGAAAGUGUUAAACAUAUAGCUACAAAUCCGAAUGAACCAUCAAUUUUAGCAACAGAUAAAUAUUAUACAAAUAGUUAUUAUAGUCAGUUUAACAGAAUAACAGAUACUUGUACACCUACAAAACCAUAUAUUAUAGAUCAACAUAGAAUUGGACGAGUAGAAUUAGAGGAAAAUCAUAGAAAUAGUGCAUGGAAUCAUACAAUGUAUCAGACAGAAGGUCCACCUUCAAACUUUGGUAAUGACAAUAACAUGUUAAAUCCAUGUAAUAGGGAUAUAUUAUUUGAUACUGAUGAAACACCUAUUAAAGAUAUGGCACAAAAAUGUGAUAAUAAUGAUGAUAGUUCAAGUAGUUAUAGAGAUUUGAAAGAUAUGGAAUUAAAUGACCCAGAUGAAGAUGAAGAUGCAGAGGAGGAUGAUGAUGAUGAAGAAAAAGAAGGAGAAGAUAAUUUAGAUUCUAAAGAUAUUGAAUAUUCAAAUAAAGAUCUUAAAAAUGUCGACACCGAUGCUUUUGAUGGCACAAUGUCAGGAAUAAUGAUUUUUGAAACCCCAAAAAAAACAAAUAUUAAAACUUAUGAAACUAGACCUACAAAAAAAAUCAACAACCAAAACGAUUUUAUGGAUAAUAUUCUAAAUACUGAAACACCUCAAAAAAUACGUAAUACUAAUAAUAAUU
Piliocolobus tephrosceles (Ugandan red Colobus) is the source of this 1021-nucleotide long non-coding RNA. The record is from Ensembl. Lineage: Eukaryota; Metazoa; Chordata; Mammalia; Primates; Cercopithecidae.